This 1032-nucleotide ribosomal RNA is filed under the name uncultured Chryseobacterium sp. RNAcentral describes it as "bacterial SSU rRNA". It matches the Rfam family "Bacterial small subunit ribosomal RNA", at positions 63 to 1101 of the family's 1533-position model. The record is from RNAcentral. Lineage: Bacteria; Pseudomonadati; Bacteroidota; Flavobacteriia; Flavobacteriales; Weeksellaceae.
CGAGCGGUAGAAGUCCUUCGGGACUUUGAGAGCGGCGUACGGGUGCGUAACACGUGUGCAACCUACCUUUAUCUGGGGAAUAGCCUUUCGAAAGGAAGAUUAACACCCCAUAAUAUAAUGAUUGGCAUCAAUUAUUAUUGAAAACUCCGGUGGAUAGAGAUGGGCACGCGCAAGAUUAGAUAGUUGGUGAGGUAACGGCUCACCAAGUCUGUGAUCUUUAGGGGUCCUGAGAGGGAGAUCCCCCACACUGGUACUGAGACACGGACCAGACUCCUACGGGAGGCAGCAGUGAGGAAUAUUGGACAAUGGGUGAAAGCCUGAUCCAGCCAUCCCGCGUGAAGGAUGACGGUCCUAUGGAUUGUAAACUUCUUUUGUACAGGAAUAAACCUACUCUCGUGAGAGUAGCUGAAGGUACUGUACGAAUAAGCACCGGCUAACUCCGUGCCAGCAGCCGCGGUAAUACGGAGGGUGCAAGCGUUAUCCGGAUUUAUUGGGUUUAAAGGGUCCGUAGGCGGGCCUGUAAGUCAGUGGUGAAAUCUCAUAGCUUAACUAUGAAACUGUCAUUGAUACUGCAGGUCUUGAGUAAAUUUGAAGUGGCUGGAAUAAGUAGUGUAGCGGUGAAAUGUAUAGAUAUUACUUAGAACACCAAUUGCGAAGGCAGGUCACUAAGAUUUAACUGACGCUGAUGGACGAAAGCGUGGGUAGCGAACAGGAUUAGAUACCCUGGUAGUCCACGCCGUAAACGAUGCUAACUCGUUUUUGGAUCUUCGGAUUCAGAGACCAAGCGAAAGUGAUAAGUUGGCCACCUGGGGAGUACGUUCGCAAGAAUGAAACUCAAAGGAAUUGACGGGGGCCCGCACAAGCGGUGGAUUAUGUGGUUUAAUUCGAUGAUACGCGAGGAACCUUACCAAGACUUAAAUGGGAAAUGACAGGUUUGGAAACAGACCCUUCUUCGGACAUUUUUCAAGGUGCUGCAUGGUUGUCGUCAGCUCGUGCCGUGAGGUGUUAGGUUAAGUCCUGCAACGAGCGCAA